UUUGACCUCGGAUCAGGUAGGACUACCCGCUGAACUUAAGCAUAUCAAUAAGCGGAGGAAAAGAAACCAACAGGGAUUGCCCUAGUAACGGCGAGUGAAGCGGCAACAGCUCAAAUUUGAAAUCUGGCCUUCGGGUCCGAGUUGUAAUUUGUAGAGGAUGCUUUUGGUGCGGUGCCUUCCGAGUUCCCUGGAACGGGACGCCAUAGAGGGUGAGAGCCCCGUCUGGUUGGAUACCAAUCCUCUGUAAAGCUCCUUCGACGAGUCGAGUAGUUUGGGAAUGCUGCUCUAAAUGGGAGGUAUAUGUCUUCUAAAGCUAAAUACCGGCCAGAGACCGAUAGCGCACAAGUAGAGUGAUCGAAAGAUGAAAAGCACUUUGAAAAGAGAGUUAAAAAGUACGUGAAAUUGUUGAAAGGGAAGCGCUUGUGACCAGACUUGGGCUUGGUUGAUCAUCCUGGGUUCUCCCUGGUGCACUCUUCCAGUCCAGGCCAGCAUCAGUUUGCUUCGGGGGAUAAAGGCUUCGGGAAUGUGGCUCCUUCGGGAGUGUUAUAGCCCGUUGUGUAAUACCCUGAGGCAGACUGAGGUUCGCGCUCUGCAAGGAUGCUGGCGUAAUGGUCAUCAGCGACCCGUCUUGAAACACGGACCAAGGAGUCGUCUUCGUAUGCGAGUGUUCGGGUGUUAAACCCCUACGCGUAAUGAAAGUGAACGCAGGUGAGAGCUUCGGCGCAUCAUCGACCGAUCCUGAUGUUCUCGGAUGGAUUUGAGUAAGAGCAUACGGGGCCGGACCCGAAAGAAGGUGAACUAUGCCUGUAUAGGGUGAAGCCAGAGGAAACUCUGGUGGAGGCUCGCAGCGGUUCUGACGUGCAAAUCGAUCGUCAAAUAUGGGCAUGGGGGCGAAAGACUAAUCGAACCUUCUAGUAGCUGG
This 922-nucleotide ribosomal RNA is filed under the name Gliocladiopsis guangdongensis. Its description in RNAcentral is "eukaryotic LSU rRNA". It matches the Rfam family "Eukaryotic large subunit ribosomal RNA", at positions 1 to 954 of the family's 3401-position model. Lineage: Eukaryota; Fungi; Ascomycota; Sordariomycetes; Hypocreales; Nectriaceae. The record is from RNAcentral.